GAGGUUUGAUCAUGGCUCAGGAUUGAACGCUGGCGGGAUGCUUUAUGCAAGUCGAACGGCAGCACGGACUUCGGUCUGGUGGCGAGUGGCGAACGGGUGAGUAGUCAUCGGAACGUGCCUAGUAGCGGGGGAUAACUAGCGUGAAAGCGUAGCUAAUACUGCAUACGCCCUUCGGGAAAGUAACUCGGGCCUCGCACUAUUAGAGCGGCCGAUAUCGACGAGUUAGUUGGUGGGGUAACGGCUCACCAAGGCGACGAUCCGUAGCUGGUUUGAGGACGACCAGCCACACUGGGACCGAGACACGGCCCAGACUCCUACGGGAGGCAGCAGGGGAAUUUGGACAAUGGGAAUCCCUGAUCCAGCCAUCCCGCGCAAAGGGGAUGAAGGCCUUCUGGGUUGUGGAAGCACUUUUGGCAGGAAGAAACGGCACGGGAUAAUACCCCGCAACUGACGGUACCUGCAGAAUAAGCACUGGCUAACUACGUGCCAGCAGCCGCAAUACGUGUAGGUGCAAGCGUUAAUCGGAAUUAUUGGGCGUAAAGCGUGGCGCAGGCGGUUCGGAAAGAAAGAUGUGAAAUUCCAGAGCUUAACUUUGGAACUGCAUUUUUAACUACCGAGCUAGAGUGUGUCAGAGGGAGGUGGAAUUCGCGUGUGUAGCAGUGAAAUGCGUGUGGUAGAUAGAGAGGAACACCACGGCGGUUGGCAGCUCUCCUGGGAUAACACUGACGCUCAUGCACGAAAGCGUGGGGAGCAAACAGGAUUAGAUACCCUGGUAGUCCUACGCCCUAAACGAUGUCAACUAGCUGUUGGGCUCUCUUCGCCUUGGUAGCGCAGCUAACGUGGUGAAGUUGACCGCCUGGGGAGUACGGUCGCAAGAUUAAAACUCAAAGGAAUUGACGGGACUCCGCACAAGCGGUGGAUGAUGUGGAUUAAUUCCGAUGCAACGCGAAAAACUCACUUACCCUUGACAUGUCUGAAUCCCGAAGAGAUUUGGGAGUGCUCGCAAGAGAACCGGAACACAGUGCUGCAUGGCUGUCACCAGCUCGUGUCGUGAGAUGUUGGGUUAAGUCCCGCAACGAGCGCAACCUCUAUGUCAUUAGUUGCUGCGCGAAAGGGCACUCCAAUGAGACUGCCGGUGACAAACCGGAGAAGGCGUGGGGAUGACGCUUCGGGUCCUCAUGGCCCUUAUGGGUAGGGCUUCACACGUCAUACAAUGGUCGGGAUGAGAGGGUCGCCAACCUGCGAGGGGGAGCCAAUCCCAGAAACCCGAUCGUAGUCCGGAUCGCAGUCUGCAACUCGACUGCGUGAAGCUCUGAAAUCGCUAGUAAUCGCGGAUCAGCAUGUCGCGGUGAAUACGUUCCUGGUCUUCGUACACACCGCCCGUCACACCAUGGGGAGUGGUUUACCAGGAAGUAGUUAGCCCAACUGCAAGGGAGGGUGAUUAAUACGGUAGGAUUCAUGACUGGGGUGAAGUCGUAAUAAGGUAG
Molecule: ribosomal RNA, 1487 nt
Filed under: uncultured Bordetella sp.
Lineage: Bacteria; Pseudomonadati; Pseudomonadota; Betaproteobacteria; Burkholderiales; Alcaligenaceae
Description: partial 16S-23S ribosomal RNA intergenic spacer
Rfam family: Bacterial small subunit ribosomal RNA
Source: RNAcentral